Molecule: ribosomal RNA, 888 nt
Filed under: Triticum aestivum (bread wheat)
Lineage: Eukaryota; Viridiplantae; Streptophyta; Magnoliopsida; Poales; Poaceae
Description: partial small subunit ribosomal RNA
Source: RNAcentral
AUCGGAUCUCAUGCCAACAUAGCCCAGACUUUUGCGCGAGGUCAUCGGCUUGAUCUCAUACCACAGAUUGAUUCGACAAUGCAAUCUUCCGGGGAGGAGCUUUUGCGUGCGAUCCUGGUGAAGCUGCCGACCAGGGACCUCGCCCGGUCCGCCUGCGUCUCCCGGCAAUGGCGCACCGUCGUCGGCGAACCCUCCUUCCGCAGGCUCCACGCCAGCGCCACCCACGUCGUCUCCGGCCCACCGGAGACACUGGCCGUCACGGAGAUCCGUGGGAUGCGCAUACGCCUAGAGGCGGUGGUCCUCAACGUCGCGUCCGAAAAGACAAUGUGCCGCAUCACCGACCUGGCCGGUGGGUACGGCCCCACCAACGCCUGCAACGGUUUCCUGUGCUUCGCAGCCAACGCCGAGGACUGGCAUGUGUGCGUCUGCAACCCUGUCACCGGAGAUAAGAUCAAGAUCGCGCCGCCGCCAGAGAACAAGGGCGUCCGCUCGCGCAUGUAUGCCAUGGGGUUCAGCGCGUUAACCCAGCAGUACAAGCUGUUCCGACUCUCCUUCCACCAUCGUGACGGCUCCGGCCACUACCUGGACGCGUACACCUUAGGCGGCGACGACGGGUGGCGCCGGAACCCACAUCUACUCCCAUGUCGCGCGAGCUACAACUGUGCAUUCCCGCCACCGGUGCUCAUCGAUGGCAAGUUGUACGUCUUAGCUGAACCGGCAGAGUAUCGCCAGGCGUCAGAUAAGAUAAUAGUGAUCGAUGUGGACAGCGAGACGCACUGCAUACAUCACCUCCCGGAGGAGUUUACCGGGGCGGUCAUUGCAGCGAUGCACGCCUUGCUGGCCAGCAGCGACUACGCUUCUGGGUCAUGCCACCGCUGCUGGGAAUGA